RNAcentral lists this ribosomal RNA (492 nucleotides) under uncultured bacterium. RNAcentral's name for it is "partial 16S ribosomal RNA". It matches the Rfam family "Bacterial small subunit ribosomal RNA", at positions 29 to 507 of the family's 1533-position model. The record is from RNAcentral.
AGUGAACGCUGGCGGUAGGCCUAACACAUGCAAGUCGAACGGCAGCACAGUAAGAGCUUGCUCUUACGGGUGGCGAGUGGCGGACGGGUGAGGAAUACAUCGGAAUCUACUUUUUCGUGGGGGAUAACGUAGGGAAACUUACGCUAAUACCGCAUACGACCUACGGGUGAAAGCAGGGGAUCUUCGGACCUUGCGCGAUUGAAUGAGCCGAUGUCGGAUUAGCUAGUUGGCGGGGUAAAGGCCCACCAAGGCGACGAUCCGUAGCUGGUCCGAGAGGAUGAUCAGCCACACUGGAACUGAGACACGGUCCAGACUCCUACGGGAGGCAGCAGUGGGGAAUAUUGGACAAUGGGCCCAAGCCUGAUCCAGCCAUACCGCGUGGGUGAAGAAGGCCUUCGGGUUGUAAAGCCCUUUUGUUGGGAAAGAAAAGCAGCAGGUUAAUACCCCGCUGUUCUGACGGUACCCAAAGAAUAAGCACCGGCUAACUUCGUG